Molecule: ribosomal RNA, 559 nt
Filed under: Tomicus brevipilosus
Lineage: Eukaryota; Metazoa; Arthropoda; Insecta; Coleoptera; Curculionidae
Description: eukaryotic LSU rRNA
Rfam family: Eukaryotic large subunit ribosomal RNA
Source: RNAcentral
UUUCGACGUAGGUAUAAGACGGGGUUGAGUGACGAAAUUGUGUUCGCAUAGUUUUCGCACCCCCUGUUUUGUUUAACCGACGACGAACGCGUGCACUUUUCUCCUGGUAGGACGUCGCAAUCCGUUGGGUGUCGGUCUACGGUUCGCGGUGGAGCCCGUUCUGACAAAUCCAUUGAUGAGCGGACCCGUGUUAUUCCUGACCGACUCGCUCGACGGUAUACAAAUGGUAUGUGGCCGCUUGAUUUAAAGCUUUCGACUCGUGGCAAGCGCACUCGAUGCGUUGGCGGUCGGACCUAGUGCCGAUCCUGACCUCUGGUGACUGUUGGCCACGAUGUUCUCGGAAAGAGCCGAUUACCGAUUUGCGACGCUAUAGCUUUGGGUACUUUCAGGACCCGUCUUGAAACACGGACCAAGGAGUCUAGCAUGUACGCAAGUCAUUGGGAAUCACUAAACCUAAAGGCGCAAUGAAAGUAAAGGUCUUCCUUGCGAGGACCUAGGGAAGAUGUGCGGUUAACCGUUAAAAGUUGCCGCGCCGCAUUCCCGGGGCGUCUCAUUCUCA